UACGUAGGGUGCAAGCGUUGUCCGGAAUUAUUGGGCGUAAAGAGCUCGUAGGCGGUUUGUCGCGUCUGCUGUGAAAACGCGAGGCUCAACCUCGCGCCUGCAGUGGGUACGGGCAGACUAGAGUGCGGUAGGGGAGAUUGGAAUUCCUGGUGUAGCGGUGGAAUGCGCAGAUAUCAGGAGGAACACCGAUGGCGAAGGCAGCUCGCUGGGACGUUACUGACACUGAGGCGCGAAAGCGUGGGGAGCGAACAGG
RNAcentral lists this ribosomal RNA (253 nucleotides) under uncultured bacterium. RNAcentral's name for it is "partial 16S ribosomal RNA". It matches the Rfam family "Bacterial small subunit ribosomal RNA", at positions 524 to 776 of the family's 1533-position model. The record is from RNAcentral.